GUGCCAGCCGCCGCGGUAAUACGGAGGGGGCUAGCGUUGUUCGGAAUUACUGGGCGUAAAGCGCGCGUAGGCGGCUUUGUAAGUUAGAGGUGAAAGCCCGGAGCUCAACUCCGGAACUGCCUUUAAGACUGCAUCGCUAGAAUCAUGGAGAGGUUAGUGGAAUUCCGAGUGUAGAGGUGAAAUUCGUAGAUAUUCGGAAGAACACCAGUGGCGAAGGCGACUAACUGGACAUGUAUUGACGCUGAGGUGC
Molecule: ribosomal RNA, 250 nt
Filed under: uncultured bacterium
Lineage: Bacteria
Description: partial 16S ribosomal RNA
Rfam family: Bacterial small subunit ribosomal RNA
Source: RNAcentral